GGAGGUGAAACUAGACCCAAAAUAUCUCAUUUGUCAUGAAGAAACCCUACCCAAAUUCUAUCCAUAAGUUGACCAAUUUACUGUCCCAAUCCAGAUAUCCAAACACUGAACCCAGAAAAAUGACCAAAUGUUCAUUUGGCCAUAACUCCCUCUAGACAGGUCCAAAUGACCUGAAUUUUAUACCAUUGGAAAGAUUAAACAUAGGACUACAACUUUUAUUGAGAACACCAAGCUCAGAAAUACCUCUAACCAAAUGAAAUCUUUGACCCAAGUUAGGUCACUAAACUGACCAGAAUAGAUUCUGCCCAGAAUUUCCUAGACCUACCCGACCAGUUUUGGCAAAAUAGCUAUAACUUAGUCCAUAAAAAUCCAAAUGCAAUGAAACCAAUGGAAAAGUUUUUAUAAGACAUAGGUCUACAAUAUUGGUCUUUUGACCAAAACCCAGAACCCAAAGGAACUAGGUCAAAUGUUUAGUAAAAUUUAGCAUAUCAAAACCUGAAGUUUGACCAAACUACACUUGACCCCAAAACACUCAAUUAGUCAUAUCUACCAUUAGAAAACUCCAAUUAGGAUGAACCAUACUGAUCUGAAACCCUAAGAAACAGGGUUCAACUUUGUUUUAGACAUGGUCUUCAAACUAUGAACAUAAGAACCAUAAAAUGGAGGUCAAAGCUACUGACCUGAACAUGGACCCUAAAGACACAGGGCACAUGAGUCCAGGCCAGUGAUUUAAUCAUAAUUAAUUCUACAAACCUUGAAAAUUUGUAAUUAAAAUUUCUGAGGGACUAUAAGACAUAGGGUAACAAC
Molecule: unclassified non-coding RNA, 807 nt
Filed under: Hevea brasiliensis (rubber tree)
Lineage: Eukaryota; Viridiplantae; Streptophyta; Magnoliopsida; Malpighiales; Euphorbiaceae
Source: RNAcentral